Molecule: long non-coding RNA, 1969 nt
Organism: Chenopodium quinoa (quinoa)
Lineage: Eukaryota; Viridiplantae; Streptophyta; Magnoliopsida; Caryophyllales; Amaranthaceae
Exons: 6
Source: RefSeq, a predicted model, not a curated record
ACAAUUUCUGGCUAAAAACAAACAAAAGAUUUAAAUUUUUUUAUUUUUUCCACUUUCGCUCCAACUUCUCGCGCUACUGGUAAAAACUCCUUCUUCCUCCUACAGUUUCUUCUUCACUCCAUUCAGUAUUGUUUUGGUUUUUCGAAUCUGGGUUCAGUUUUUUUUUUUUUUUUUUUUUUUUUUUUUUUUUUUUUUACUUGAGUUUUUUUUAAGAUAUUAGAAUUACUUUACCCUUAAAUUAAUCUAUUCAUGAAAGAGAAAUAUAUCCCAUCCCACGCUAAUUUCCCUUUCACCUCAUUUACUCUGAAAGAAGAGUCAGUCUUUGCACUGCCGAACCCACUGACGCACGCCCGUAGUCACCGGCACACCGGCGAACCGCCGCACCCAUCAAAGCACCACUGCACUGCUGCACCAUUGCGCCACCCACCACUGUACUAACUAGAAAUUUGCCCUGUUCCUCACAUGGACAAUCUGGUAAACAUAUACAAAUAUAUGGAAGUCGCAUCAGGGGUUUCUCUUUGUCUCUCAAAGUGGACGCUUGAGUAAAUAGCAGACUUAUGCUGGCGGUUCAGUUGGUGGUGCCGUCAAAUUGAACCAUGGGCUUCGUGACAUUGUGAUUAAUUGGGCAGGUGGCUUGCACCAUGCAAAAAAGUUCGAGGCCUCUAGGUUAUGUGAAUGAUACUGUUUUUGUAAUUUUGGAACUUCUCAAAAAUUCAUGAGGUAGUGUUUUUCUUCUGCCGAAUCUUGGAAAACUUGUUUUGAGUUCUAACAGGAAAAUAACUGGACAUCUUCCUGAGUUUCGAUCAAGCACCCACCCUCGUAAAAUUCUGGACCUUUCUGCCACUGCUUUAUCUGGAGAGUUGCCGUCUUCCAUUAGAAACUUUGGUUCCUUAGAGAGACUGAGGCUAUGGGGUUGCCAAUUCUCUGGAAAAAUUUAACUCAACUUCAAAUGCUUGGCAUUUCGAGUCUCAAUGUGAAAACUGGAGACAUGUGCUCCUGGUUGCCUAAGCUCAAAGAACUGACUGCCUUAGGCCAGGUCACAUUUUUGUCUUGAACUCGAUCAAUAUGAAUGAUCUGUAUUUUCUUGCUAAUAUCACUAAGAUUUCAUAUCUCAAUCUUUUUGAAAACCAUUUAACAGGUCCAAUCCCACACUGGAUUGUCAAUAUGACCCAAUUAGCUUGGUUUUAUUUGGGAGAAAAUCAUUUACAGGGUCCAACUCCACAAUGGUUUUCCCACCUUUUAUGUUUAUGUGUGAUCUUGAACUUAUUUGAUUGCUUAUAUUUAUGUGUGAUCUUGAACUUUUUACUACUCAUACUUAUUAGUUGUAAACUGUGGAUUAUGCUUUCAUGUUUCUUACGACAUGCACUAUUAUGUAGGUCCCAACUAAUUAAAUGUCGUCUUGCUUUAAUUGAUGAGUUCCGUGGGAACUCAGUGAUUGUGGCCGAUGGAACGGCAAAACCUUGUCCUAGUUGAGUGACUCAUAACAAGAAAAUGAACCGUGACAUCUACAGAAUUAGUGUUGACCAUGUUUAUAGUGAUUAUUCUUACCUAAAUCUCCCAGAAGAGACUGAUGACGUAUCACUAAGUUGGGUCAAGCGGAAGGUUAUUUUUUGGGUGGCUUGCAGAUUUAGUCUUCUUCUUUAUUGAUGAGGUUAUGACUUUGACCAAAAAGACGGAUAAUGAAUUGGUAUAAACCGAAUGGUAAUGAGAUAUAUGUAUGAGAUAAUAUCUUUCCAUAGCGAUUGCAAGGGUAAUUUGAAAGAGGAGUAUUUGGCAAGACUUGCAGCCUACAACGAUGUAGAAUUAGAUGAGAUUUGAGACAAUGGGCUAAGUUUUUAGGCUUACUUUUUUGUUGAAAGGCUAGUUAUCUACUUUUCUAUAUAAUACAUUUCUAUAUAUCUACUUUUAUUUAGCCUAUUGGUUAUUGUUAUUACAUUUCUAAAUUAUAAAUCAAUGAUUUUUUAUUCAA